This 479-nucleotide ribosomal RNA is filed under the name uncultured bacterium. RNAcentral's name for it is "partial 16S ribosomal RNA". It matches the Rfam family "Bacterial small subunit ribosomal RNA", at positions 28 to 507 of the family's 1533-position model. The record is from RNAcentral.
GAUGAACGCUCGCGGGAGGCCUAACACAUGCAAGCCGAGCGGUAUUGUUUCUUCGGAAUUGAGAGAGCGGCGUACGGGUGCGUAACACGUGUGCAACCUGCCUUUAUCUGGGGGAUAGCCUUUCGAAAGGAAGAUUAAUACUCCAUAAUAUAUUGAACGGCAUCGUUUAAUAUUGAAAGCUCCGGCGGAUAGAGAUGGGCACGCGCAAGAUUAGCUAGUUGGUGAGGUAACGGCUCACCAAGGCCAUGAUCUUUAGGGGGCAUGAGAGGGUGAUCCACCAGACUGGUACUGAGACACGGACCAGACUGGUACGGGAGGCAGCAGUUAGGAAUAUUGGUCAAUGGAUGCAAGCCUGAACCAGCCAUCCCGCGUGAAGGACGACUGCCCUAUGUGUUGUAAACUUCUUUUAUAUAGGGAUAAACCUACCCUCGAGAGAGUAGCUGAAGGUACUAUACGAAUAAGCACCGGCUAACUCCGUG